AGAGUUUGAUCCUGGCUCAGAUUGAACGCUGGCGGCAUGCUUUACACAUGCAAGUCGAACGGUAACAGGUUAAGCUGACGAGUGGCGAACGGGUGAGUAAUGCAUCGGAACGUGCCCGGUCGUGGGGGAUAACGCAGCGAAAGCUGCGCUAAUACCGCAUACGAUCUGAGGAUGAAAGCGGGGGACCGUAAGGCCUCGCGCGAUCGGAGCGGCCGAUGUCAGAUUAGGUAGUUGGUGGGGUAAAGGCUCACCAAGCCGACGAUCUGUAGCUGGUCUGAGAGGACGACCAGCCACACUGGGACUGAGACACGGCCCAGACUCCUACGGGAGGCAGCAGUGGGGAAUUUUGGACAAUGGGCGCAAGCCUGAUCCAGCAAUGCCGCGUGCAGGAAGAAGGCCUUCGGGUUGUAAACUGCUUUUGUACGGAGCGAAAAGGUCUUCCCUAAUACGGGAGGCUGAUGACGGUACCGUAAGAAUAAGCACCGGCUAACUACGUGCCAGCAGCCGCGGUAAUACGUAGGGUGCGAGCGUUAAUCGGAAUUACUGGGCGUAAAGCGUGCGCAGGCGGUUUUGUAAGACAGGCGUGAAAUCCCCGGGCUCAACCUGGGAAUGGCGCUUGUGACUGCAAAGCUGGAGUGCGGC
Molecule: ribosomal RNA, 642 nt
Filed under: uncultured beta proteobacterium
Lineage: Bacteria; Pseudomonadati; Pseudomonadota; Betaproteobacteria
Description: bacterial SSU rRNA
Rfam family: Bacterial small subunit ribosomal RNA
Source: RNAcentral